AGCCACGCAAUGAGCACAUAGCGAACUAUUCUUUCGCCUUUUACUAAAGAAUACCCUGUGCGCGUUGCAAAUAGUGGCAUACGCCAAUUUUUUGAGGGUUUUUCUCUUUUUGAGAAAU
RNAcentral lists this small nuclear RNA (118 nucleotides) under Solanum lycopersicum (tomato). RNAcentral's name for it is "U5 spliceosomal RNA". It matches the Rfam family "U5 spliceosomal RNA". From Rfam's summary of the family: U5 RNA is a component of both types of known spliceosome. The record is from Rfam by way of RNAcentral. Lineage: Eukaryota; Viridiplantae; Streptophyta; Magnoliopsida; Solanales; Solanaceae.